UUAACUAUUAUAUAGUACUCAGACGACACUAAUAUUCAGGGUUUUGGGUCCUCUGGCAAGCACUGACCAGCCGAAGCCGGUGGUCCGAAGACGGGCCUGCCAAAGCAACAAAGGUAAUAUAAACAAAGGGUGGGAGAUCUACCCCGAAGGGCAUAUUCUCUUUAAUGAUCCUUCCGCAGGUUCACCUACGGAAA
RNAcentral lists this unclassified non-coding RNA (194 nucleotides) under uncultured fungus. RNAcentral's name for it is "sequence contains ITS1, 5.8S rRNA gene". Lineage: Eukaryota; Fungi. The record is from RNAcentral.